CCAAUUGAUUGAUGGUGCUUGCACCUGAUUGAUUUUGGUUGCCAACGAGUGGCGGACGGGUGAGUAACACGUAGGUAACCUGCCCAGAAGCGGGGGACAACAUUUGGAAACAGAUGCUAAUACCGCAUAACAGCGUUGUUCGCAUGAACAACGCUUAAAAGAUGGCUUCUCGCUAUCACUUCUGGAUGGACCUGCGGUGCAUUAGCUUGUUGGUGGGGUAACGGCCUACCAAGGCGAUGAUGCAUAGCCGAGUUGAGAGACUGAUCGGCCACAAUGGGACUGAGACACGGCCCAUACUCCUACGGGAGGCAGCAGUAGGGAAUCUUCCACAAUGGGCGCAAGCCUGAUGGAGCAACACCGCGUGAGUGAAGAAGGGUUUCGGCUCGUAAAGCUCUGUUGUUAAAGAAGAACACGUAUGAGAGUAACUGUUCAUACGUUGACGGUAUUUAACCAGAAAGUCACGGCUAACUACGUGCCAGCAGCCGCGGUAAUACGUAGGUGGCAAGCGUUAUCCGGAUUUAUUGGGCGUAAAGAGAGUGCAGGCGGUUUUCUAAGUCUGAUGUGAAAGCCUUCGGCUUAACCGGAGAAGUGCAUCGGAAACUGGAUAACUUGAGUGCAGAAGAGGGUAGUGGAACUCCAUGUGUAGCGGUGGAAUGCGUAGAUAUAUGGAAGAACACCAGUGGCGAAGGCGGCUACCUGGUCUGCAACUGACGCUGAGACUCGAAAGCAUGGGUAGCGAACAGGAUUAGAUACCCUGGUAGUCCAUGCCGUAAACGAUGAGUGCUAGGUGUUGGAGGGUUUCCGCCCUUCAGUGCC
Molecule: ribosomal RNA, 816 nt
Filed under: uncultured bacterium
Lineage: Bacteria
Description: bacterial SSU rRNA
Rfam family: Bacterial small subunit ribosomal RNA
Source: RNAcentral